RNAcentral lists this non-coding RNA (198 nucleotides) under Planococcus glaciei. RNAcentral's name for it is "Planomicrobium glaciei T-box sequence". It matches the Rfam family "T-box leader". From Rfam's summary of the family: Uncharged tRNA acts as the effector for transcription antitermination of genes in the T-box leader family. T-boxes are found upstream of many aminoacyl-tRNA synthetase genes and some amino acid biosynthetic genes usually in Gram-positive bacteria. The record is from RNAcentral. Lineage: Bacteria; Bacillati; Bacillota; Bacilli; Caryophanales; Caryophanaceae.
GAAUCAGAAAUUUUAAGGAUUAGUAAAUAGACGUUUCUUUUUCAGAGAGGGUCCCGGUCGGUGAGAGGAACCCAAAGGAAGCUAUUGAACCUGCCUUUCAUAUCCUGCGUUGAAAAAUGCAGCGGUUCAUACCGUUAUCAUGUUCGAGAGUAAAGCUUUGCUUUGAAUUAGGGUGGUACCGCCUUCUGGGUCCCUAAU